UCCAAAGAUGAGAGUUACUGGGUCUGCCUCCUGCACCAGGUGAGCUUUGAUUUUUUGCAGGAGGCAGGGAGUGUCCUGGGACAGAAUACAGCUGUGCUUUCUUCUGCCCAGCCACCUGCAGGUGUGCAGCUACUUGCCCCAGCCUUUCCACUAUCACAAAAGAGAAGGCAACACAGUUAAGAGAGACACAGACGGCUCUUCCUUUUACCUGAGGCAGCUCAGACGAAAGAGAAAUUCAGUCUGGAGUUGAUAAGACAACAGGACUUUUUUCAUAUUCUUCACUGCACGUAGGUUGAGGUCAUGCCACCAGGCUAUGUAGCCCUUCCUUCGAAAUAAUCAAGAAAGAACAUUUGCUGUCUUUGGACCAAAUCUUGAGGCCUUACUCAGGCAAAUGCCGGCUUAAUAAUUAGUGAUCUCUCCAGCAGGAGGAAUAUCCGACCGACUGCGGGGCACGAACAGCUCGACAUGAUGCAGCCAAACCACAGUGUCAAAUGUCAUGGGAAGUGCUCGCUUUCAGUCCACGUGCUCUCAGUUCAGCGGCAAUGAAGACUUGCAGUGUACCCGCUGUGUAACCUGCGAAGUCUUGAAAAUUCAGCAUUCAGUUACAGACUUAGCGUGUGGACUUGUGACGUUAGGAUUCCCAAUACCUCAACUGGAAGAAAAGAGAUUGGAGGUGGCAGUGGAAGGGACAGGGCACAAGAAAGAAAAGGAAAGGAACGCGGACGCUCGCACACAACUUCUUACAAUGGCUCUAGCAUGCCCUUCCAUUGGUUUCAAAGGCAGGGUUGCAGGGAAGAUGGAAGCCAAGACCUCUGUGCAGAAGAAGCAGAGCUUUCCCCAAACUGGGAUGGCAAGAGUUGAAAGAAAGUUUAGCCUUGAGAGCAGCUGCCAAAAUCAAAACCUUGUUCAAAGUUUAUUUGAUGUGAAUCGCAGGAGGUGUGACUACUGGGAUUUGCAUCCAAGCAGGAACCCUGCAGAAUUCUUCAAAUCCUGGUGACAAAGAAAACAAACUGAACGAACAGCACAUGGCCUUUAAAGAUGUCCUCGUCUGGUGUUCCUGGUGGAUUUGAGAUGAUAAAGGACCGAAUAUUUUCCAGCACGGCACCUACAAGAAAACCUGAGCGAGAGCACCAGACAAAGCCGUUUGACACAGCCCACCCCAGGAUGACUCAGGAAAUCCCUAAUCCAAAGCCUGGAGAACGCUCUGGGAUGCUCAGCACAGCCAAGGGGCAAGAAGUCCCUGUCUGCCUCCUGCUUUCCCUGAUGCUGGAGAGGAGAGGAGCUGUGCUGGGACUCCAGACACUGCAGUGUGACAGCUAAACCAAGGAGCAUCGGAUGCGAUGGAAUUGCUCUACAAGCAACCUUGCCAAAGGCCCUUUCGCUGCACAAAGCUGGCUCUAUCUUUGUAUAUUGAGGGAGCUAAAUCAAUGUUAAAUGCUUGGCUCUUUUCACAGGACAAUGACCAGGACCUAAGCUGCGUCCUUCCUUUUUGAUUGACACUUGAAACGUUGAGUUGGAAUCAGCCAGAGGCACUGCUACAAGCUUGAAGCCUCUGCUGGGGAUAACAACUGGUGACAUCUGCAGAAAGGCCGACAAAAGGCAGUUGAAAGCCGUGUUUGUUGCUUUCCCCUCUCAGAUCUCCUCUCUUUCAUGGAGCUCCUUACUUGCUUUAAUAUUAUGAUUCAGCACCUGGCUCUUUUGAACCUUGCUUUAAACUUCAAAAGGCGAGGUGGUAUUAACAAACAUGAAACGAAAAAGUGGCAGUAGUUUGAUUUACUGUUGUCGUCUUAUCAAGGGGGUUUUUUGUCACCAGCUGCCACUUUCUGUCAUCUUUGGAACCAUUAUCAUUUCUCUAAAAUCUAAAAGACUCCACUUAAUAACAGCUUUGAAUACAGGCAGGAUCAGUAACGUAUACAGUUCUGGGAUGACAGGGCCGUCAAAUGAAAAGAAAGAUGUUGCCAAAAAAAAAAUCCUUAAAAAAACAAUAAAACAAAUAAAAGCUGUAGUACUUCUAAGUGACCUUGAUUUCAGAAUUAAACAAAUCAAGCACAA
This is a non-coding RNA of Anas platyrhynchos (mallard), 2052 nucleotides long. NCBI's taxonomy places the organism in Eukaryota, Metazoa, Chordata, Aves, Anseriformes, Anatidae. The record is from RefSeq and is a predicted model, not a curated record.